CCCCGCAACAGUUACCCACUUGCUCUGUAUUUUUCAAUGUUUGUAUACUGUCUUCCAUUUGCGAUCUAGCAUAAAGAACUGAGUUCUCACAGGCCAGUGUUUCAGNNNNNNNNNNNGUUUAUAAUUAUCUUAAUUGGGCUGCCCAUCAGGAAAACUUCAACUGAUUAAACCUUUUCCAUGCCCAUUUUACGAAGCUGGCUCAAGAUCCCAGUAAAAUCUGGAGGAGGUGGACGAGAAAAGUUUAUUUCUUCCCCUGUGUGUGGAUGCGUGAACCCUAGAGCCAAAGCAUGUAGACAAGGCCUCUCUAAUCCUGACAGCAAUAAUGAAAGUUGACUGAGACAGCUAGGGGGAAUUCUGGGUCGAAGCCGUGACAAAGCCAAACUUUU
This 386-nucleotide unclassified non-coding RNA is filed under the name Hevea brasiliensis (rubber tree). The record is from RNAcentral. Lineage: Eukaryota; Viridiplantae; Streptophyta; Magnoliopsida; Malpighiales; Euphorbiaceae.